RNAcentral lists this ribosomal RNA (468 nucleotides) under uncultured bacterium. RNAcentral's name for it is "partial 16S ribosomal RNA". It matches the Rfam family "Bacterial small subunit ribosomal RNA", at positions 28 to 507 of the family's 1533-position model. The record is from RNAcentral.
GACGAACGCUGGCGGCGUGCCUAACACAUGCAAGUCGAACGGAAAGGCCCUGCUUUUGGGGGGUGCUCGAGUGGCGAACGGGGGAGUAACACGUGAGUAACCUGCCCUUGACUUUGGGAUAACUUCAGGAAACUGGGGCUAAUACCGGAUAGGAGCUCCUGCUGCAUGGUGGGGGUUGGAAAGUUUCGGCGGUUGGGGGUGGACACGCGGCUUAUGAGCUUGUUGGUGGGGUAGUGGCUUACCAAGGCUUUGCACGGUAGCCGGCCUGGGCGGGUGACCGGCCACAUUGGGACUGGGAUACGGCCCAGCCUCCUACGGGAGGCAGAAGUGGGGAAUGUUGCACUAUGGGCUGAAGCCUGAUGCAGCAACGCCGCGUGCGGGAUGACGGCCUUCGGGUUGUAAACCGCUUUCGCCUGUGACGAGGCGUGAGUGACGGUAAUGGGUAAAGAAGCACCGGCUAACUACGUG